UACGUAGGGGGCGAGCGUUGUCCGGAAUCAUUGGGCGUAAAGCGCGUGUAGGCGGCUCGGUAAGUCUGCUGUGAAAGUCCAGGGCUCAACCCUGGCAUGCCGGUGGAUACUGUCGAGCUCGAGUCCGGAAGAGGCGAGUGGAAUUCCUGGUGUAGCGGUGAAAUGCGCAGAUAUCAGGAGGAACACCAAUGGCGAAGGCAGCUCGCUGGGACGUGACUGACGCUGAGACGCGAAAGCGUGGGGAGCAAACAGG
Molecule: ribosomal RNA, 253 nt
Filed under: uncultured bacterium
Lineage: Bacteria
Description: partial 16S ribosomal RNA
Rfam family: Bacterial small subunit ribosomal RNA
Source: RNAcentral